UUCCCUCGGGGUCGCAGCAGGCGCGCGAAUCUUACAAUGCAGGCAACUGCGAUAGGGGGACAUCGAAGUGGCAUCCACCUUGGGCUGCCUGUCCAACCUGUCUAAAAAACGGUUGUUAGCAAGGGCCGGGUAAGACCGGUGCCAGCCGCCGCGGUAAUACCGGCGGCUCGAGUGGUGGCCGAUAUUAUUGAGUCUAAAGGGUCCGUAGCCGGCUUUGCAAGUCCUCCUGGGAAAUCCAGCGGCUUAACCGUUGGGCUUUCCAUGGGAUACUACAUUGCUUGGGACUGGGAGAGGUAGGAGGUACUCGGGGGGUAGGGGUGAAAUCCUGUAAUCCAA
Molecule: ribosomal RNA, 336 nt
Filed under: uncultured archaeon
Lineage: Archaea
Description: bacterial SSU rRNA
Rfam family: Archaeal small subunit ribosomal RNA
Source: RNAcentral